UCUGCGUUUUCUUUCACGAGAACUGUGAGGAGGCAUGGAAGGACUAAAGUUUUCCCUCAGAAUGCAGUUCUCGUGCGACCACUUCUUAUAUAACGCAUCACGAGUGACAAAGUUACCAUCCGGGAAGCAUUUUUCUCCAAAACAAAACUAUAGGUGGUGUUGCUUAGCAGGGGAAAGGCUAUGAUUUCCUGAAUGGGUAGCCAAGUAUCUCUUGUAUUUAUUACUUUUCUCAGUUUCGUGAAUUUCAGGCUGCUCUUCCGAUUCAUGUUCCAUCAUAACUUAGGGUUCUAUUGAUAUCACCUACGCCUCUCCUGUUGCCGCCUUCUGCUGCUGAUUGUCAUUGACAAUGGUUGAAGCAGAGAAAGCUGCCGAGCCCACCUAGAUUGAGGCUGUGACUUGCCUAAAAGUUAUUGAACUCUGAAACUCCUGACUGCAGUGAUUGGAUGCCUUCCAAAUUCGAUGAGUCCUGACACUGACCUGGAAGCCUCAGGCUUGUGCUUGUUGAGAUCGAUCCAGUCUCCAAUGACAAGAAGUUCUGGUUCAAGGAGAGAAGCUUUAGUCUUCAGUGUGCCAAGUCAGGUUGUGAAUCGCAUGAAGUCAGCUGUCACCUGCCGCGGUCAUGGGCCGAGAUGUCAAUGCUUCCUCAAGAUCCCUAUCGUUGAAACCUACUUCGCCACUUCCUUAAAGCAAUUGGCUCCAAACUCAGGAAAUGUAGAGUUUAAUUGAGGAAUUGUCCUGAUAUUUUCCUGAUCAGCUACUCGAUCCCAGAUGAUGGUGGUGCGAAUGGAGCAAGUGCGCCAACACAUACUCAGGAAGGUCGGUCCAUCAGAUGUACUGAACCAUCUUGUUGGUUAAGUUCUUAAGCAUCCCUCUCUCCAGCCAACACGCUCGAUCCUUGUAGCAACCUCCCUCAGUUCAUCGACUUCUUUCCUGCUGACCUGCACCCUUCUUCAUUUGUCAAAGGGAGAUUUAUGGCAAUUGAUAACAUCGUGUUCAUUGAUAACCCGAAUAUCUCUUACCUCAGGCCAGAGGUUAUUGUGGGCUUAAGAGUUUGACUGGGUCGGAGGAAUCUGUUUUGGACAAAGACGCCGCCAGGCUACCCAUUUAUGUCACCACGACUGGUUAUAUCAAAAGGAAUCACAUGAAGCAUAUUCUGAGGGACGAUUUCACCCUUUUGUGCCUCCUCGUGGCUCUCGAGGAACAAAUCUCAAUAGUAAUGUGGCUAUGGACGUCGUACCUCUUCGAAUGUCACCAAAAGAAGGCUCGCUGUGGUGGGCACCCGUAGAACAUGAUGUUGAUUUUGAGGCUUAAGCUCAACACGGUCCCAAAAUGGCGCAUCGUCGUUGUAGUACUUAUAGUGGAGAUGGUGCAGGUGAGGAGUGAGGCCGUGAUGUCAACUUCAAGGCUCAACGACUCACAGAACUUACAGAGUCCCAAGACUCUUACCUGUUCCAGGUCUCCUCCCAGGAUAAGAAGAAACCAGAAUAAAUCAGAUCCUGCAAGCAUAUUGCAGGUGCUCCAGAUGGAAGCCAUUCAAAAGAAAUCCAUAAAUAGUCCUCCAUGGUACAUUCUAUACCUCGCUUGCAAAGAUUUCCCACUAGCCCCAACCGGAACAAAUUUAUCUAAUCAAAUCACUACCAACUGAAAUGAUUAGGGCAAUCUGAGUUUUUUUUAAGUAUGAUCACAGGGCCGAUAUCCUGCCUGUUGCACUAGCUGAUCAGGAUCAGAUGAGUUUAUUUGCAUAGAAAUGGAUUCUAUCACACUAAGUUACUUCUACAUAUAGAUACUGACUUAAGAACAAAGUAUGAUAUUAAGCCUUGUCAUCGGGAACUUUGAUCUUCUCGAACUCCACAAAGUCCAACGGCCACGCUCCGAGCUGCUCCAUCUCCAGUAUCUGCAGGCAAAAGCAGCACCGCGCCCAUUCCUUUUCGUGUCAAGCCUUGAAGUCGGUAUCACGUUCUUCAGAUGUAGAACCCACCCUAGUUGUUGAUUCACCCGAGAAGGCGAGCCUUCAUGUGGCACCAUCUUGAAGGGGGCAUCACGCCUAGACCACAUUACUUUUGCGCUUUCUUUCACGAGAACCACAGGAAGGAGGCACAGAAGGAUGAAAUCGGCUCUCAGAAUAUGUUAUCAAGUGAUCCCUUUUGAUACAACCAGUCAUUGGUGACAUAAAUUGGUUUUCCGGUGGCAUCUUUGUCCCAAACGAAUUCCUCCAACCCAGUCAAACUCUUUAACCUCACAUCAACCUCUGGCCAGAGGCGAGAGACGCUCGGGUUAUCGAUGUACACAGAUCUUGUCAAUCGCCAUAAAUCUCCCUUUGCCGAAUGAAGAAGAGUGCUAAGUCAGCUGGGAAGACGUCGAUGAACUGCAGGUGGUUGCUACUAAGAUCGUGCGUGUUGGCUGGACGACGGUUCCUGAAGAACUGAACUACCAGAGAUGCGAUCCGUUCAGCAUAUUGACCGGCCUUUCUGAGUAUGUGAUGGUACACGUGCACCAUUUGCGCUGCCAUCAUCCAGGAUCCGGCUAGCUGGUUGGGAGUGUAUCGGGGGCGAUUCCUCUAACUACCCUCUGCUUGAACUAUGAUCUUUCUGAGGCUCGAUCACUUUAAACGAAAGUUAAUUGAUCACGACUCUGUAUGAUGUACACAGCACUCUCGGUGCACUAGUAAUCUGAAAGAUUGAGUACAAUGCAAGAUGCAAAGUGCAUGAUAUUAAAUGAAUUAACGCCUUGAAAGGGACGAUCAUUUCUCUUCUAAA
This is a long non-coding RNA of Syzygium oleosum, 2756 nucleotides long. RefSeq lists it as uncharacterized. The transcript is spliced from 3 exons. The record is from RefSeq and is a predicted model, not a curated record. NCBI's taxonomy places the organism in Eukaryota, Viridiplantae, Streptophyta, Magnoliopsida, Myrtales, Myrtaceae.